Molecule: unclassified non-coding RNA, 240 nt
Filed under: soil metagenome
Description: partial contains 5.8S ribosomal RNA, internal transcribed spacer 2, and large subunit ribosomal RNA
Source: RNAcentral
AACCUAGCACACCUGCGGUGUGUACCUGCGGAAGGAUCAUUAUAAAAAUAUGGUCAAACCAUUCUCCUGUGAUUACGUAACGUGUAUACUUUGGCAGGCUUUGGGUCAUUUUCGAUCCAUCUUCUACGUUUGUGCCUUACGCGUACGAAUGUCUGAAGUUGGCCUGCCAGAGGUUUUCAAUAAACACACACGUUUAAACUACAGUCUGAAAAUCUCUUUCGAGAGAAUAAAAACAAAUAU